AAAAAAAAAAUAAAAGAAAUUAAAGUUGUUUUAAUUGUGGGGAAGGGGUGUGGUUUGUCAUAUUUAGAAGAAAAAAAAAACUUGUAUUUUAACAGAAACUGCAUCACAAAGUUAUAUUUGUGAGAGAAUUGUUCUUUUUGCUAGUCUAUUGUAUGACUUUUCUUUUUUGGUAUUGUUUUUACUUACAUUUUUUUACCCGUUAUAUCAGUAAGCUGAAG
Molecule: unclassified non-coding RNA, 218 nt
Filed under: Hevea brasiliensis (rubber tree)
Lineage: Eukaryota; Viridiplantae; Streptophyta; Magnoliopsida; Malpighiales; Euphorbiaceae
Source: RNAcentral